Molecule: long non-coding RNA, 1687 nt
Organism: Pseudopipra pipra
Lineage: Eukaryota; Metazoa; Chordata; Aves; Passeriformes; Pipridae
Exons: 2
Source: RefSeq, a predicted model, not a curated record
CGGGGGCGCUGGGAGGCUCCAUGCCGUAGGCGCCGAGCGAGAAGGGGCAGCAGAGGAAGGAGAAGGUGAAGCUGAAGAGCAAGGUAAUUUUUUUUCUGCAAGAGCCUGAGGGAAAUUUUUUCAGGGACCUAAUGGGAAGAAGUAGCAGCAAUAAUCCAAAAAAUGAUGAAAGCUCUUUCUGAGGAUGUAAGUAACUCAAGUACCACUCCUGAUGGUGCAGGGAUUGCAUGCACCAUUUUACAAACCGGUUGUAAAACUGGUUUUACAAACCAGGACUCCCCAGAUGGAAAGCAGCUUGGCAGAAAUGGACCUGGUGACUACCAAGUUGCAUAUAAGCCAGUGAUAUGGCAAGAUGGCAAAGAUGAAUAACGGUAUCUUGGGAAGCACUGGAAAAACCUCUGCUCAGCACUGGUGAAGCCUCAUUGGAGUCCUAUGUCCAGUUCCGGGCUCCACAGUACAAGACAGACAUGGAUGUAUGGAAGAGAGCCAGUGGAGGGCCACAAAGAUGGCUAAGGGACUGUGAAGGAAGGCUGAGAGAUCUGGGACUGUUCAGCCUGGAGAAGAGAAGGUUCUGGGGAUCUUAUCAAUGUCUGUAAAUAUCUAAAGGGAGGGUGCAAAGAGGAUGUAGCCAGGCUCUUUACACUGGUGCCCAGUGACAGAACUAGAGGUAAUGGACACAAACUGAAACACAGGAAGUUCCCUCUGAUCAUCAGGAAACACUUUUUUACAGUGAGGAUGACUGAUCACUGAGACGCGCUGCCUAGGGAGAUUGUGGAAUCUCUGUCCUUGGAGAUAUUCAGAAGCCACAUGGACAUAGUCCUGGAUAACUGGCACUGGUUGGCCGUGCAGGCAGGUUGGACUAUAUGACCUCCACAAUUCCUCUCCAAUCUCAAUGUUCUGUGAUGCUGCAAUUCUGUGACGUAUGUGGAGAAGGGACUGUUAAUCACUCUGGUGCAACCCCGUUCCAAGUGGUAGGUUAUUAAUAUGAGCAGAAAUUGUCUCCUACAAUUUCUACAUCAUAUUAAAAGAGAAAAAUUAAAAUAAUUCAGUCUGUCAAAGAAAAAGCAGAUUGGACAAUGCAAGAUCUGCCCUAAGAAAUAUAUCUAAUGAUUGCAAAAUACAAAAGUAUAGCUGCAUUUUCUGAUACACCUGAUCCUUAAGGAUUAGCUGUGUUACAAGCUUCUCAUGAGAUUACAGAACAGUUAAAGGACCAAUUAGUUUAGAGGUGCUAGCUGUUCAUACCCAUAGCUUCAGUGACAGGAAAACCCUUAACUCCGUCAAAACCAGUAUUCUCAGAACUUGUAGUUUUGAAAAAACAGGUAAAAACCCUGGGUCUCUAGAAAAUAUGCCAAAAGAAAAGAGGUAUGGAAACAUUAUUUUAGCACUCCAGUUUUAUGCAUCAGUUGAAUGGGAGAUUUGGAGACUGUAACUUGUGUUUAGAUUCUUAAUUUGGUUGCCUAGAUCACUCAUGAGAUCUGACCUAGAAUGUGAAAAUUUGCAUGCAUGAGCAAAUAUCAGAGUACAGUAUCAAGCUGAUCUUCACAAAUUUUGAAAUAUUCUGCCUGGAAAUUAUUUCAUAGCAUAGCUUUUGAAAUUUAUAAUAUGAAGUUUAUAAUCUGCAUUUGUAUCCUUUGCAUUUUACACAGAAGUAUUAUUUGUCUUUUAAAUAUAUUGCAAUUUAUGUCAA